Molecule: Y RNA, 102 nt
Filed under: Propithecus coquereli (Coquerel's sifaka)
Lineage: Eukaryota; Metazoa; Chordata; Mammalia; Primates; Indriidae
Description: Y RNA (ENSPCOG00000008023.1)
Rfam family: Y RNA
About the family: Y RNAs are components of the Ro ribonucleoprotein particle (Ro RNP), in association with Ro60 and La proteins. The Y RNAs and Ro60 and La proteins are well conserved, but the function of the Ro RNP is not known.
Source: Rfam by way of RNAcentral
GGCUGGUUUGAGUGCAGUGGUGUUUACAGCUAAUUGAUCACAACCAGUUACAGAUUCCUUUGUUCCUUCUCCACUCCCACUGCUUCACUUGACUAGCCUUUA